GAUGAACGCUGGCGGCGUGCUUAACACAUGCAAGUCGAACGGGAAAUAUUUCAUUGAGACUUCGGUGGAUUUGAUCUAUUUCUAGUGGCGGACGGGUGAGUAACGCGUGGGUAACCUGCCUUAUACAGGGGGAUAACAGUCAGAAAUGGCUGCUAAUACCGCAUAAGCGCACAGAGCUGCAUGGCUCGGUGUGAAAAACUCCGGUGGUAUAAGAUGGACCCGCGUUGGAUUAGCUUGUUGGUGGGGUAACGGCCCACCAAGGCGACGAUCCAUAGCCGGCCUGAGAGGGUGAACGGCCACAUUGGGACUGAGACACGGCCCAGACUCCUACGGGAGGCAGCAGUGGGGAAUAUUGCACAAUGGGGGAAACCCUGAUGCAGCGACGCCGCGUGAAGGAAGAAGUAUCUCGGUAUGUAAACUUCUAUCAGCAGGGAAGAUAGUGACG
This 445-nucleotide ribosomal RNA is filed under the name uncultured bacterium. Its description in RNAcentral is "bacterial SSU rRNA". It matches the Rfam family "Bacterial small subunit ribosomal RNA", at positions 28 to 456 of the family's 1533-position model. The record is from RNAcentral.